AUGGCUUCAAAGCUUGUGGUUCUUGGAAUCCCUUGGGAUGUGGAUACAGAAGGAUUAAAAGAGUACAUGAGCAAGUUUGGCCCCCUGGAUGAUUGCAUUGUUAUGAAGGAUCGCUCAUCUGGUCGAUCUCGUGGUUUUGGAUACGUGACGUUUUCGUCAGUAGAGGAUGCAAAGAAUGUCGUUAACUCUGAGCAUAUUCUUGGAGACCGAACUCUGGAAGUGAAGAUAGCGACUCCCAAGGAAGAAAUGCGAGCUCCAGGAAACAAGAAAGCUACUAGGAUAUUUGUUGCUCGGAUUCCACAGUCUGUGGAUGAGUCAAUGUUUCGCAGGCAUUUUCAAACUUUUGGAGAAAUAACAGAUCUUUAUAUGCCCAAGGAACUGGGUUCAAAAGAACAUCGUGGAAUUGGGUUUGUCACUUUCCGAAGUGCAGAAUGCGUGGACAAUGUCAUGCAAGAAAAUCAUGAGAUUGAUGGUUCAACAGUUGUUGUUGAUCGUGCAACUCCGAAGCAGGAUGAAGAAGUCAGGCACCCUCCAAGGAGGGGGGGAGGAGCACAGGGCGAGGGUGGUUAUGGCUCGUAUAAUGCAUACAUUACAGCUGCUACCAGAUAUGCAGCUCUGGGCGUACCAACACUGUAUGAUCAUCCUGGACCAGCUUAUGGAAGAGGUUACUUGAAUGAGCCCCCUGUAUCAAGCAAAAAGAUUUUUAUUGGUAGACUCCCACAAGAAGCAAAUACUGAUGAUUUAUGGGAUUAUUUUGGCCGAUUUGGCAGAAUUGUGGAUGCAUACAUUCCAAAGGAUCCUAAAAAGAGCGGCCACCGUGGUUUUGGUUUUGUUACUUUUGCUGAGGAUGGUGUAGCAGAUCGUGUAGCGCGAAGAAGUCAUGAAAUUUUGGGACAGGAGGUUGCUGUAGACUCAGCUGCACCUGUUGAGGGUGGCCCCAGUCGAGGCGGUUACAUGGAACCACCUGCGCCACAUGGAGCUUACAGCCCGAUGAUGUCUUAUGGCCAGUUCUCUGGCAGUCUUGGUUAUGAUUAUGGUUAUGGUCCCAGUGGAAGUAGCAGCAGAUCAAGAGUACAGCCACGGUACAAACCGUACUGA
Molecule: ribosomal RNA, 1098 nt
Filed under: Triticum aestivum (bread wheat)
Lineage: Eukaryota; Viridiplantae; Streptophyta; Magnoliopsida; Poales; Poaceae
Description: partial small subunit ribosomal RNA
Source: RNAcentral